GAAAUGCGAUAAGUAGUGUGAAUUGCAGAAUUCAGUGAAUCAUCGAAUCUUUGAACGCACAUUGCGCCCCUUGGUAUUCCAUGGGGCAUGCCUGUUCGAGCGUCAUUUGUACCCUCAAGCUCUGCUUGGUGUUGGGUGUUUGUCCCCGUCUCCGCGCGUGGACUCGCCCCAAAGUGAUUGGCAGCCGGCGUACUGGUCCCGGAGCGCAGCACAUGUCGCGCAAACGAGUGCCUUGGUACGGCGGCGUCCAUAAGCCCCUCUCUCACGCUCUUGACCUCGGAGCAGGUAGGGAUACCCGCUGAACUUAAGC
This 310-nucleotide unclassified non-coding RNA is filed under the name plant metagenome. RNAcentral describes it as "partial contains 5.8S ribosomal RNA, internal transcribed spacer 2, and large subunit ribosomal RNA". The stretch from base 1 to 105 matches the Rfam family "5.8S ribosomal RNA", at positions 50 to 154 of the family's 154-position model. The record is from RNAcentral.